This is a long non-coding RNA of Nematostella vectensis (starlet sea anemone), 506 nucleotides long. RefSeq lists it as uncharacterized. NCBI's taxonomy places the organism in Eukaryota, Metazoa, Cnidaria, Anthozoa, Actiniaria, Edwardsiidae. The transcript has 2 exons. The record is from RefSeq and is a predicted model, not a curated record.
GGCGGAGUUGAAUUGCAAAAUUUUCGUAACUCGGAGUUUCAGUGUGAGCACGCUGCGAGAAUGGAGCUCACUGACAGCGAAGAAGAGCGACUUAUUUUUAUUACGCCAAAUAUCUAUUUUCAAGAACUGUAAUGUCGACGACAAUGAACAAACGGAAUGAAGUUUAUCAGGACAACUCCGUCUUUGAACUCUACUGCUUGAGCCUUGGUCUGCUUGUGGCGUGUCAGCGGCUUACCGCAGCAGACCACAGAGUAGUCAUCUUCGGCAGCCUCAGUCUGUUCGAUCGUCUGGUGCAUUUUGGCGAAGAGGGUUUCUGGGAGAAGGUAUGUCAUAGCCCCUGCGAUGAUUGCGGACAACCCAAAUACUGUGACCGGGAACGUCAUGCUGAGGCCUGGUAACUGCGCCUGAAAGAACCAAUCAGAAGCCGCAUUUACACAAAGGACUCUACAGUGAGACACUACUAUAGAUAGGAACGUUGAUUGAAUUAAAAAUUGUCUUCAUUUUAA